GCAGCUUUUAUUUUUUCACAAUAGAUACUGGAUUUUAACACACAUCAAAAAUACAGCUUCUAAGGCACCCAGAAAUCUGUUCAUUCACCCGUUAACAAAUUAUUUCUUGUCUAAACCACAGUAAAUAUAUGUACGGCUAUCAGAAAAUAUUUACAUCACUGUCAGAAAGGAGACCGGUAUCCCUUAAUGAUAUAAGUAAAUAUAUUAUACAAAUAUUAGAUAUUCUCUAAUAUGCCUGUAUAUUGCCAUGUAACAGAAAAAAAAAAUCCCCCCCAAAAUAAAAUAAAAAUUCAAGCAAACAAAUAUAAUUACAAAGCAUGUGUUCCUUUUCAACCCUCUGCUUGCCACAUGGUUUACCAGAAAAGAACAACACAAUGCAUGUCCUGAUUUUAUCCCUAGCAGAGUGGGUUAUGGAUUAAUAACUUGGGGACAUCCCUGGCAAAAAAAACAAACAUUUUGGCAUUUGUUUUUAACCCCUUACCUGCUAUCUGUUUUUUUGUUCACACUUAAAACCAAGGGUAGAAAAAAGCAAAGCCACCAAGAUGAUGCUGAGCUUCAACACCCAUAAUUCUCUUCUAACCACAGUAGUUGUACAAUAGCUGUUGCUAGAUGUAUGUCAUGUCCUCAUGACUUAAACCCUACACUGCAUUUGACUUAAUGUCUAGUCUGUACUACAGGAAUUUAUUCUCCCGAUUUUGCAUACUUUGGAAACAAAACAUAUUCAAGGUCUAAAUAGAAAAAUAUAUUGAAAAAUAAAAUCUACGAGGAGAUUGCAUAAUUUUAGAAAAGCAGCAACAUUGCUUACAGUCAAAAGACACCAAACCUCUACUACAUGAAAAAACACCCAUAAUAUGUUCAGUUAACUCAUCCCUAGUUCGUGAUAUAUUUAUAUGAAACGUCUUCAUAUAAUAUAUACGAGAAAAAUAUAUACUGGGAUUAUGAUCCACCAAUGUAUGAUAUUUUAUAUUAAGGAGAACCUGUCAAAAAAUGUGCAGCUAAAUAAAUAGGAAAUUAUACAAAUAACAUUGAAGAAUGGAAAAUUAAAAACUUACUAGAUGUAUUUUGAUCAAACAACAGGUUCACUUUAAAUGCAAACUCUUUAAUUCAAUGAAACAGAAUAUUUUGUUUUGAACUUUAGACAUUGUUUUGUGUCAAUAUAACCUUCACAACCCUUCUGAGCAAACAUAGGUAAACAACUUCUGAUCAGACAUGAAUCACCCGCUAGCCAAAGGCAGGAUAGGUUGGCCCCAGACGGAAGGUGUUUCCAAUGGACAAUUUAGGAUCAUAGGUAGAUAUCCCUUUAAUGAUCCAGAUGGACUGCACACACUCAGGUGUGAAUUGUCAGGAAUUCAAUGUCAAUUCUGCAUUUUUGAAAAAUAUAGCCAAAUUAAAAACAUAACUGACAUUAAGAUUUUUUUCCCGUUCGGCUCUAUUAGCCACAAAUAUGAUUUAACUUUAAAUUCUUAACAGUCCACACUUAUUGAAUAAGCUGGCUAAAUUCCAUGGACCAUGCUGGAGUGGUUAUGGUGCUUAAAGUGUCCCUUUUUAAAAAAAUCUUGCCAAUAUUGGCAGUUUCCAUAAAAAAAAAAAAAUUAAAGAAUUGAAUUCAGUAAAUUGGGAAUUGAGAAGUUAAUUGCAAAAUUAACAGUUCUAUACAAUUGCCAUUUUAGAGUAUAAAAACCAUACCAAUAAACAAUGGCAUGAAAGAUCACUCCUUCUAUCAAACAAUUACUGGUCUGUAAAAAGAUACCAUAAUGAGAACACAAUGAUGAAAUGUAAACAUGCAUAUAAUAUCGUCCUUUAGAAAAAGGAGUACUAAAACAAAACAAAUAAACAAACAACCCCUACAAAAACAAACUGCUAUAAAUACAUGUUUAAAAACUCUAAACUAACAGAAGCAGACACAUUAAAAUCAAUAUUAAAGAGAGCUUGUAAAAUUAGAGAAUAAGAAAAUAACGUAUCUUCUACAAAUGAGUGGACUGUACCGAGUAUCGAGCAUUCCAAAUGCCAAGCCAUUUCACAAGCAGGAUUCAUUAGACAGCUGGUAACAUAAAAACUAGUGAACGUUAAAAAUCUGUGAAAAUCUAAAGCAUUCAUGGGAUCCACAGGAUUACAUUAUAUACAAAACUCAAGAUAUGGAAAUAUCAUGAGAGCGCAUUCUUGAUACAUGUUAACAAGUAUUCAAAAACACAAAUCCAGUCUUUAAGAAAUAUUACUAUAGAAAAAUGCAGUUAAUCAAUUAUGAAAUGUCAAACUAUUUGGUGAUCUUAUCAGUCUUUGUCAAGUACAGUAGCACCUUUAAUGGCAGGAUGGCCAUACAGUCCCAAAAUAGCUGGAGAUGAACUUAGCCUUCAAAUAAUGAUCACCAUAAAACAAAGCACUGUAUCAAGAUUAGGAUCCCCAAAUAUCUGGUGUUCAACCCAUCCUUUUCCAAAUAAUGUGAUUAUCAUGCAAUGCUCAACCCAGCUUUUAUCUAGAAUAUCAAGGAUGCAAACAGUAAAGCUAUGCAGUUUAUAUCAAGUAUGGGAUGGAUUCCAAGACAUCUGGCAAUCUCAUUUUUACUGUACAGAGUACAUGUACUUUUCCUACGCUUGACUUUAUUUGACCUAGGGAGGAGCUUAAGUAAGCUCCAUUUCCGGUGUUAGAGAAAGUACUCACCCUUCUUCUUGACACAGGAAAUGGAGCAGACUUAAGAUUUAAGAGGAAAAAUACAUACGACAAGGCAGUCCCUACUUUGUCUUAUGUUUUAGAGAAAACUAGGUUAGAAAUAAAGAAAAGAAGAACAGAUUUGGAGAAGAUAAGAAAAAACAAGAGCAGAAAGGUAAGUUCGGCAUGACAGUGCUCUUUAAGAAAGCCUAUGGUUCAUGCAAGAGUGAUCCGGCAGAGAAUUAUGGAAAAUGUUUACCAACACCACCGAGAAGGUGAAGGUUGGACUACAUUGUCCUAAUGAGAUAAAAAUGGCUGAGCAACCACCAAUCCACAUGGAGAUGUAAUUUAAUUAAAAGCGAUUACAUACCCAGAUAUUGUAACUAAGGGAAGUGAGUGUCCGGUAGCUUAUGCAAAAAUGUAUUUUACAUUUGUAAUAAAAUGAACCAGCACAUUCGGUGUUCUCCAGCUUAGAAAAUAAAGCAAGGGCGAUCUGAACAGGAAAAUGAAAAAAUUUGAAUAUGGAACCAAAAUGUAUACUUGCCUUCCUACCUCCUCUAUCCGCUUACCUAAC
This 3220-nucleotide long non-coding RNA is filed under the name Pelobates cultripes (western spadefoot toad). The record is from RNAcentral. Lineage: Eukaryota; Metazoa; Chordata; Amphibia; Anura; Pelobatidae.